RNAcentral lists this ribosomal RNA (717 nucleotides) under Streptomyces sp. RNAcentral describes it as "bacterial SSU rRNA". It matches the Rfam family "Bacterial small subunit ribosomal RNA", at positions 93 to 824 of the family's 1533-position model. The record is from RNAcentral. Lineage: Bacteria; Bacillati; Actinomycetota; Actinomycetes; Kitasatosporales; Streptomycetaceae.
UAGUGGCGAACGGGUGAGUAACACGUGGGCAAUCUGCCCUUCACUCUGGGACAAGCCCUGGAAACGGGGUCUAAUACCGGAUAACACCUGCCCGGGCAUCCGGGUGGGUUAAAAGCUCCGGCGGUGAAGGAUGAGCCCGCGGCCUAUCAUCUUGUUGGUGAGGUAGUGGCUCACCAAGGCGACGACGGGUAGCCGGCCUGAGAGGGCGACCGGCCACACUGGGACUGAGACACGGCCCAGACUCCUACAGGAGGCAGCAGUGGGGAAUAUUGCACAAUGGGCGAAAGCCUGAUGCAGCGACGCCGCGUGAGGGAUGACGGCCUUCGGGUUGUAAACCUCUUUCAGCAGGGAAGAAGCGAAAGUGACGGUACCUGCAGAAGAAGCGCCGGCUAACUACGUGCCAGCAGCCGCGGUAAUACGUAGGGCGCAAGCGUUGUCCGGAAUUAUUGGGCGUAAAGAGCUCGUAGGCGGCUUGUCACGUCGGGUGUGAAAGCCCGGGGCUUAACCCCGGGUCUGCAUUCGAUACGGGCUAGCUAGAGUGUGGUAGGGGAGAUCGGAAUUCCUGGUGUAGCGGUGAAAUGCGCAGAUAUCAGGAGGAACACCGGUGGCGAAGGCGGAUCUCUGGGCCAUUACUGACGCUGAGGAGCGAAAGCGUGGGGAGCGAACAGGAUUAGAUACCCUGGUAGUCCACGCCGUAAACGGUGGGAACUAGGUGUU